RNAcentral lists this ribosomal RNA (497 nucleotides) under uncultured bacterium. RNAcentral's name for it is "partial 16S ribosomal RNA". It matches the Rfam family "Bacterial small subunit ribosomal RNA", at positions 28 to 507 of the family's 1533-position model. The record is from RNAcentral.
GAUGAACGCUGGCGGCGUGCCUAAUACAUGCAAGUCGAGCGAACAGAUGAGGAGCUUGCUCCUCUGACGUUAGCGGCGGACGGGUGAGUAACACGUGGAUAACCUACCUAUAAGACUGGGAUAACUUCGGGAAACCGGAGCUAAUACCGGAUAAUAUAUUGAACCGCAUGGUUCAAUAGUGAAAGACGGUUUUGCUGUCACUUAUAGAUGGAUCCGCGCCGCAUUAGCUAGUUGGUAAGGUAACGGCUUACCAAGGCAACGAUGCGUAGCCGACCUGAGAGGGUGAUCGGCCACACUGGAACUGAGACACGGUCCAGACUCCUGCGGGAGGCAGCAGUAGGGAAUCUUCCGCAAAGGGCGAAAGCCUGACGGAGCAACGCCGCGUGAGUGAUGAAGGUCUUCGGAUCGUAAAACUCUGUUAUUAGGGAAGAACAAAUGUGUAAGUAACUAUGCACGUCUUGACGGUACCUAAUCAGAAAGCCACGGCUAACUACGUG